This 85-nucleotide non-coding RNA is filed under the name Halanaerobium saccharolyticum. RNAcentral's name for it is "c-di-GMP sequence". It matches the Rfam family "c-di-GMP-I riboswitch aptamer". From Rfam's summary of the family: GEMM was predicted in a large-scale screen for bacterial structured RNA regulatory elements. Genes associated with GEMM are involved in a diverse array of functions, including chemotaxis regulation, signal transduction, secretion and chitin. Lineage: Bacteria; Bacillati; Bacillota; Clostridia; Halanaerobiales; Halanaerobiaceae. The record is from RNAcentral. RNAcentral also lists the same sequence under 1 other name.
UGAAAACAAAGGCACAAUAAUUGAAAGAUUAUUACGCAAAGAUCUGAGUCUAAGGAUUUAAUCUAUGACUGUCAGAUUUGCCUCA